Molecule: ribosomal RNA, 194 nt
Filed under: uncultured bacterium
Lineage: Bacteria
Description: partial 16S ribosomal RNA
Rfam family: Bacterial small subunit ribosomal RNA
Source: RNAcentral
CCUACGGGAGGCAGCAGUGGGGAAUUUUGGACAAUGGGCGCAAGCCUGAUCCAGCCAUGCCGCGUGCAGGAUGAAGGCCUUCGGGUUGUAAACUGCUUUUGUACGGAACGAAAAAGCUCUCUCUAAUACAGGGGGUGAAUGACGGUACCGUAAGAAUAAGCACCGGCUAACUACGUGCCAGCAGCCGCGGUAAU